UCUCAGGCUGUCGUCCUCUAGAGGGAAGCACUUUCUGUUGUCUGAAAGAAAAGAAAGUGCUUCCUUUUAGAGGGUUACCGUUUGAGA
MicroRNA precursor from Homo sapiens (human), 87 nucleotides. Ensembl annotates it as microRNA 520c. Its record names the gene MIR520C. Lineage: Eukaryota; Metazoa; Chordata; Mammalia; Primates; Hominidae. The record is from Ensembl.